CACGGAUUCUUGCUUUCCCAUUUCUCGGGAAUGUACGUUGUUUAUCUAUAUUUGUUUGGUAUUUACGUGAUGCAAAUUCGCGUAUACCAACGUCGUUGCGAUUUAUUUUCGUCGACGGUGUCCAUUUGCAUUAUGGAAUAUGUUCCGCCUUCUAACUGCGUUUGGUUUGGUUGAUGCUAGCUUGUACGCGAUUCUCUAGGUUUCUAUUUUU
Molecule: long non-coding RNA, 211 nt
Filed under: Lathyrus oleraceus (garden pea)
Lineage: Eukaryota; Viridiplantae; Streptophyta; Magnoliopsida; Fabales; Fabaceae
Description: Pisum sativum (pea) long non-coding RNA (PSAT_LNC030417)
Source: RNAcentral